AUUGAACGCUGGCGGCAGGCCUAACACAUGCAAGUCGAGCGCGAAAGUCUUCGGAUGAGUAAAGCGGCGGACGGGUGAGUAAUGCAUGGGAAUCUGCCUAGUAGUGGGGGACAACGUUCCGAAAGAGACGCUAAUACCGCAUACGCCCUACGGGGGAAAGGGGGGGAUCUUCGGACCUCUCGCUAUCAGAUGAGCCCAUGUCAGAUUAGCUAGUUGGUAGGGUAAAGGCCUACCAAGGCGACGAUCUGUAACUGGUCUGAGAGGAUGAUCAGUCAAACUGGAACUGAGACACGGUCCAGACUCCUACGGGAGGCAGCAGUGGGGAAUAUUGGACAAUGGGGGCAACCCUGAUCCAGCCAUGCCGCGUGUGUGAAGAAGGCCCUAGGGUUGUAAAGCACUUUCAGUGGGGAGAAAGGUUGUUCAGUUAAUACCUGAAUGAAUUGAUGUUACCCACAGAAGAAGCACCGGCUAACUCCGUGCCAGCCGCCGCGGUAA
Molecule: ribosomal RNA, 495 nt
Filed under: uncultured bacterium
Lineage: Bacteria
Description: partial 16S ribosomal RNA
Rfam family: Bacterial small subunit ribosomal RNA
Source: RNAcentral